This 647-nucleotide ribosomal RNA is filed under the name uncultured bacterium. Its description in RNAcentral is "bacterial SSU rRNA". It matches the Rfam family "Bacterial small subunit ribosomal RNA", at positions 222 to 863 of the family's 1533-position model. The record is from RNAcentral.
AGGACGGGUCCGCGUCCCAUUAGAUAGUUGGCGGGGUAAUGGCCCACCAAGGCGAUGAUGGGUAGCUGGUCUGAGAGGAUGACCAGCCACACUGGGACUGGAACACGGCCCAGACUCUUACGGGAGGCAGCAGUGAGGAAUAUUGCACAAUGGACGAAAGUCUGAUGCAGCAACGCCGCGUGAGUGACGAAGGCCUUCGGGUUGUAAAGCUCUGUCGGGUGGGAAGAUGUGGUCCGGCUAAUCACCGGAUUGUGACGGUACCAUCAAAGGAAGCACCGGCUAACUCCGUGCCAGCAGCCGCGGUAAUACGGAGGGUGCAAGCGUUGUCCGGAUUUAUUGGGCGUAAAGCACGUGCAGGCGGUCUGUUAUGUCGAGUGUGAAAUCCCGGGGCUUAACCCCGGAACUGCGCUCGAAACUGGCAGACUUGAGUUCGGAAGGGGGAGAUGGAAUUUCCGGGUAGGGGGUGAAAUCCGUAGAUAUCGGGAAGAAUACCGGUGGCGAAGGCGAUCUCCUGGUCCGAUACUGACGCUCAGACGUGAAAGCGUGGGGAGCAAACAGAAUUAGAUACUCUGGUAGUCCACGCUGUAAACGUGAGACACUAGGUGUUGGGGGUACCAAUUCCUUCAGUGCCGUAGCUAACGCGUUAA